Molecule: ribosomal RNA, 253 nt
Filed under: uncultured bacterium
Lineage: Bacteria
Description: partial 16S ribosomal RNA
Rfam family: Bacterial small subunit ribosomal RNA
Source: RNAcentral
UACGUAGGGUGCGAGCGUUGUCCGGAAUUACUGGGCGUAAAGAGCUCGUAGGUGGUUUGUCGCGUUGUCCGUGAAAACUCACAACUCAAUUGUGGGCGUGCGGGCGAUACGGGCAGACUGGAGUACUGCAGGGGAGACUGGAAUUCCUGGUGUAGCGGUGGAAUGCGCAGAUAUCAGGAGGAACACCGGUGGCGAAGGCGGGUCUCUGGGCAGUAACAGACGCUGAGGAGCGAAAGCGUGGGGAGCGAACAGG